AGGGACCCAGGGACUUAGGAUAAAUUAGACCGAGAGCCUUCAAAGCUCUAAGCAGGAGUUAAAAUCUCCUAGUCCCUG
Molecule: transfer RNA, 78 nt
Filed under: Pangio cf. anguillaris CBM ZF 11605
Lineage: Eukaryota; Metazoa; Chordata; Actinopteri; Cypriniformes; Cobitidae
Description: tRNA-Trp
Rfam family: tRNA (bases 9-78)
About the family: Transfer RNA (tRNA) molecules are approximately 80 nucleotides in length. Their secondary structure includes four short double-helical elements and three loops (D, anti-codon, and T loops). Further hydrogen bonds mediate the characteristic L-shaped molecular structure. tRNAs have two regions of fundamental functional importance: the anti-codon, which is responsible for specific mRNA codon recognition, and the 3' end, to which the tRNAs corresponding amino acid is attached (by aminoacyl-tRNA synthetases). tRNAs cope with the degeneracy of the genetic code in two manners: having more than one tRNA (with a specific anti-codon) for a particular amino acid; and 'wobble' base-pairing, i.e. permitting non-standard base-pairing at the 3rd anti-codon position.
Source: RNAcentral